ACGAACGCUGGCGGCGUGCUUAACCCCUGCAAGUCGAACGGAAAGGCCCUGCUUUUGUGGGGUGCUCGAGUGGCGAACGGGUGAGUAACACGUGAGUAACCUGCCCUUGACUUUGGGAUAACUUCAGGAAACUGGGGCUAAUACCGGAUAGGAGCUCCUGCUGCAUGGUGGGGGUUGGAAAGUUUCGGCGGUUGGGGAUGGACUCGCGGCUUAUCAGCUUGUUGGUGGGGUAGUGGCUUACCAAGGCUUUGACGGGUAGCCGGCCUGAGAGGGUGACCGGCCACAUGGGGACUGAGAUACGGCCCAGACGCCUACGGGAGGCAGCAGUGGGGAAUAUUGCACAAGGGGCGGAAGCCUGAUGCAGCAACGCCGCGUGCGGGAUGACGGCCUUCGGGUUGUAAACCGCUUUCGCCUGUGACGAAGCGUGAGUGACGGUAAUGGGUAAAGAAGCACCGGCUAACUACGU
Molecule: ribosomal RNA, 466 nt
Filed under: uncultured bacterium
Lineage: Bacteria
Description: partial 16S ribosomal RNA
Rfam family: Bacterial small subunit ribosomal RNA
Source: RNAcentral